GUUCCUGUAGUUAAAUUUCGAUAACAGCGGCUUUUCAGGCCGCGGACCCUGGAGAG
RNAcentral lists this transfer RNA (56 nucleotides) under Ficedula zanthopygia (yellow-rumped flycatcher). RNAcentral describes it as "tRNA-Glu". Lineage: Eukaryota; Metazoa; Chordata; Aves; Passeriformes; Muscicapidae. The record is from RNAcentral.